RNAcentral lists this ribosomal RNA (255 nucleotides) under uncultured bacterium. Its description in RNAcentral is "partial 16S ribosomal RNA". It matches the Rfam family "Bacterial small subunit ribosomal RNA", at positions 524 to 776 of the family's 1533-position model. The record is from RNAcentral.
UACGUAGGUGGCAAGCGUUUGUCCGGAAUUAUUGGGCGUAAAGCGCGCGCAGGCGGUCCUUUAAGUCUGAUGUGAAAGCCCACGGCUCAACCGUGGAGGGUCAUUGGAAACUGGGGGGACUUGAGUACAGAAGAGAAGAGUGGAAUUCCACGUGUAGCGGUGAAAUGCGUAGAGAUGUGGAGGAACACCAGUGGCGAAGGCGACUCUUUGGUCUGUAACUGACGCUGAGGAGCGAAAGCGUGGGGAGCGAACAGG